ACGGAGGGUGCAAGCGUUAUCCGGAUUCACUGGGUUUAAAGGGUGCGUAGGCGGGUAGGUAAGUCAGUGGUGAAAUCCUGGAGCUCAACUCCAGAACUGCCAUUGAUACUAUCUAUCUUGAAUAUUGUGGAGGUAAGCGGAAUAUGUCAUGUAGCGGUGAAAUGCUUAGAUAUGACAUAGAACACCCAUUGCGAAGGCAGCUUACUACGCAUAUAUUGACGCUGAGGCACGAAAGCGUGGGGAUCAAACAGGAUUAGAUACCCUGGUAGUCCACGCCCUAAACUAUGGAUACUCGACAUAUGCGAUACACUGUAUGUGUCUGAGCGAAAGCAUUAAGUAUCCCACCUGGGAAGUACGUUCGCAAGAAUG
Molecule: ribosomal RNA, 369 nt
Filed under: uncultured bacterium
Lineage: Bacteria
Description: bacterial SSU rRNA
Rfam family: Bacterial small subunit ribosomal RNA
Source: RNAcentral